AACGAACGCUGGCGGCAUGCCUAACACAUGCAAGUCGAACGAGACCUUCGGGUCUAGUGGCGCACGGGUGCGUAACGCGUGGGAACCUGCCCUUAGGUUCGGAAUAACUCCCCGAAAGGGGUGCUAAUACCGGAUAAUGUCUUCGGACCAAAGAUUUAUCGCCUUUGGAUGGGCCCGCGUUGGAUUAGCUAGUUGGUAGGGUAAAAGCCUACCAAGGCGACGAUCCAUAGCUGGUCUGAGAGGAUGAUCAGCCACACUGGGACUGAGACACGGCCCAGACUCCUACGGGGGGCAGCAGUGGGGAAUAUUGGACAAUGGGCGAGAGCCUGAUCCGGCAAUGCCGCGUGAGUGAUGAAGGCCUUAGGGUUGUAAAGCUCUUUUACCCGGGAUGAUAAUGACAGUACCGGGAGAAUAAGCUCCGGCUAACUCCGUG
Molecule: ribosomal RNA, 433 nt
Filed under: uncultured bacterium
Lineage: Bacteria
Description: partial 16S ribosomal RNA
Rfam family: Bacterial small subunit ribosomal RNA
Source: RNAcentral